Molecule: ribosomal RNA, 253 nt
Filed under: uncultured bacterium
Lineage: Bacteria
Description: partial 16S ribosomal RNA
Rfam family: Bacterial small subunit ribosomal RNA
Source: RNAcentral
UACGGAGGGUGCAAGCGUUAUCCGGAUUCACUGGGUUUAAAGGGAGCGUAGGUGGGUUGGUAAGUCCGUGGUGAAAUCUCCGAACUUAACUUGGAAACUGCCAUGGAUACUAUCAGUCUUGAAUAUUGUGGAGGUCAGCGGAAUAUGUCAUGUAGCGGUGAAAUGCUUAGAUAUGACAUAGAACACCGAUAGCGAAGGCAGCUUGCUACACAAUCAUUGACACUGAGGCACGAAAGCGUGGGGAUCAAACAGG